Long non-coding RNA from Halichondria panicea, 1655 nucleotides. RefSeq lists it as uncharacterized. Lineage: Eukaryota; Metazoa; Porifera; Demospongiae; Suberitida; Halichondriidae. The transcript is spliced from 3 exons. The record is from RefSeq and is a predicted model, not a curated record.
UACAUCACAUAAUUACAAUGUAUGUUGUGACAAUAAUAGAGUACACGACAUGUACAGUAAAGUUGCUGAGCUGAAAACUCGGAGAUAUUUUUUACUUACAGUGCUGAUCUUGAGGCUGCAAAUAUGGCGUCAAAUAUACAGUAGGACAACUCCAUGCUCUGCUGGUUCUCUAACUGUCCGUGUAUAGACAGCAACAACUGGACCUCGUUAAAAGGCGGGAGGACAGGGGCACCCCCAGGGAAGAUACUUGUAGCUCUUGGCUCAAACACAACAAAAAGGUCGACAAGUGUUUGAAGGUUGUCUCUGGUCAGCUGAGAGGGAGUGUCAGUGCUGGCUAGACAGCAGUCUCAGCACAAUAUUGCAGGAUGCCGGGAAAUCGAGACUGGAGAUAUGCUAAUAAUAUGGAUGCCCAACGAGAGAGGAGCUAGAAAUACGUUCCCUGACGAGCCACUAGACUUUAUUGUACUGGAUUGCUUGGUAUGUGCACGACAGGUUUAGUUCAGGAAUUUGACCAAAUACGUGAAAAUAUGGUUUCCAAAUAUUAAGGGGAUGAUUAACAUUGGACACUUGCGUCUGCCAAUGGGGGACCUGGUAUUCUCCCCAGAAAAAUCUUUGAACGAAUAUGAUUUUCAAAUGGUUGUGGUAAACUUCAUACUUCAUACCAUAGUCCAACAACUAUUUUUGGUUAUCCAACUUUAAUACCAAUGUGUGCUUAUCGUAUACCGUAGUCCUAGAAAUUUUUGCUAGCAUAAAAUACUUGCAUUUAGGCCAAUUCUACAAAAAAGCUAUACAAUUAAUUUAUUUCCUUGCCACGAUUGUAUAGGCCUAGAAUAAAAGCCUAACUGUGCGAUACAAAUGUACGUGAUAGAUAGGCACUUGCAUAAAUGCAUUAGUUUGUAUCACAUAUACAUUUCUAGCACACUACCGUAGGGAUGGUUGGGCGAUGGUGUAGGGCUAAGGUUUGCAGCGACAUCGAAGUUACCACAACCAUUUUUUUCAUUCCAGCUGCAAGCCAGCUGCAAGCUAAGUGUAUAAAUAUUGUACAUUAUAGAUAAGGUCUUUUCCUAAUUUCUAUACAUUUUCUCUCAAGUAUCAAAACAGCCCAGUUAAGCGUGUGAACCUUCGACCCCAAAGUCGCUAAUGUUAAGGGGAUGCAAAGUACCAAAUUUACCUAUUCCAAAUGGGUAACAGAACAUUUCAAGCUAAAAUAAACCCUGCAAAAACCCCACCCCAUAAGCAGUUUGUGUAGUGUGUAACAUAGAUUAUGUGUGACCGGAAUGUGUGUAUGUACCAGCCAUUGAACAAACAAUCAUCCAUAGUGACCGUCCAUUUAUAUAUACUAGCACUAGCAUUGUGUGUACAGUAUCAUUGUGUCUGGAACUGUAUCAUUUCCCCUCUCACUCAGGAAGGAAAGGUAGCCAUAAAGAGUGUGGCUAAUCUCCUACUGUGUAUAUACGCCAGUGGAAAUGUUGGUCUAGGACUGCUUAAGGCAAAGGCGGAUGCUCUCUCCAAACAUCUUGAAGCACCUCUGCUGCAAAUAUCUACUACAUAGCUAACUUUUUCAAUAGUAUACUUUCUAAUGAGUUGUGUAAAAUUAUAAAAUUAUUUAUUGUACAUGUAAUGUCGUAUGUCAAAUCUUGUUGUGGACUUGUAAA